AUUAGACACCCUAUAACCCACACCUACACACUCAUGUAUCAAUCUGAUUGAUGGAUUGUGUUGUGCAGUAAACAGGCUCAGGUGUAUAACUGUGGCUCCUUCCACCUUCAAAGAAUAGGCAAGAGGGCCAACCAUGGAGAAUAGUUAUAUCAGCUGUGUCGGUGAACCCCUCCUGCAUCUGAACUGGCUACAUAGAGGGCACAGCAUGAUCAGAGGUAUGUUUUGAUGUGAGAGGAUGCCAACCCCCAGUCCCAUCAUCACCACCUCACCUGCUUUUAAGAACCUUUGGGCCGACGAGAGA
RNAcentral lists this long non-coding RNA (301 nucleotides) under Salmo salar (Atlantic salmon). Its description in RNAcentral is "lncRNA (ENSSSAG00000117922.1)". Lineage: Eukaryota; Metazoa; Chordata; Actinopteri; Salmoniformes; Salmonidae. The record is from RNAcentral.